This 2906-nucleotide ribosomal RNA is filed under the name Enterobacter cloacae subsp. dissolvens SDM. Its description in RNAcentral is "bacterial LSU rRNA". It matches the Rfam family "Bacterial large subunit ribosomal RNA". The record is from RNAcentral. Lineage: Bacteria; Pseudomonadati; Pseudomonadota; Gammaproteobacteria; Enterobacterales; Enterobacteriaceae.
GGUUAAGCGACUAAGCGUACACGGUGGAUGCCCUGGCAGUCAGAGGCGAUGAAGGACGUGCUAAUCUGCGAAAAGCGCCGGCGAGGUGAUAUGAACCCUUGACCCGGCGAUGUCCGAAUGGGGAAACCCAGUGCAAUUCGUUGCACUAUCGUUAACUGAAUACAUAGGUUAACGAGGCGAACCGGGGGAACUGAAACAUCUAAGUACCCCGAGGAAAAGAAAUCAACCGAGAUUCCCCCAGUAGCGGCGAGCGAACGGGGAGCAGCCCAGAGUCUGAAUCAGCUUGUGUGUUAGUGGAAGCGUCUGGAAAGUCGCACGGUACAGGGUGACAGUCCCGUACACGAAAAUGCACAGGCUGUGAACUCGAAGAGUAGGGCGGGACACGUGGUAUCCUGUCUGAAUAUGGGGGGACCAUCCUCCAAGGCUAAAUACUCCUGACUGACCGAUAGUGAACCAGUACCGUGAGGGAAAGGCGAAAAGAACCCCGGCGAGGGGAGUGAAAAAGAACCUGAAACCGUGUACGUACAAGCAGUGGGAGCACCUUCGGGUGUGACUGCGUACCUUUUGUAUAAUGGGUCAGCGACUUAUAUUCUGUAGCAAGGUUAACCGUAUAGGGGAGCCGAAGGGAAACCGAGUCUUAACUGGGCGUUAAGUUGCAGGGUAUAGACCCGAAACCCGGUGAUCUAGCCAUGGGCAGGUUGAAGGUUGGGUAACACUAACUGGAGGACCGAACCGACUAAUGUUGAAAAAUUAGCGGAUGACUUGUGGCUGGGGGUGAAAGGCCAAUCAAACCGGGAGAUAGCUGGUUCUCCCCGAAAGCUAUUUAGGUAGCGCCUCGUGAACUCAUCUUCGGGGGUAGAGCACUGUUUCGGCUAGGGGGCCAUCCCGGCUUACCAACCCGAUGCAAACUACGAAUACCGAAGAAUGUUAUCACGGGAGACACACGGCGGGUGCUAACGUCCGUCGUGAAGAGGGAAACAACCCAGACCGCCAGCUAAGGUCCCAAAGUCAUGGUUAAGUGGGAAACGAUGUGGGAAGGCCCAGACAGCCAGGAUGUUGGCUUAGAAGCAGCCAUCAUUUAAAGAAAGCGUAAUAGCUCACUGGUCGAGUCGGCCUGCGCGGAAGAUGUAACGGGGCUAAACCAUGCACCGAAGCUGCGGCAGCGACACUAUGUGUUGUUGGGUAGGGGAGCGUUCUGUAAGCCGUUGAAGGUGGCCUGUGAGGGUUGCUGGAGGUAUCAGAAGUGCGAAUGCUGACAUAAGUAACGAUAAAGCGGGUGAAAAGCCCGCUCGCCGGAAGACCAAGGGUUCCUGUCCAACGUUAAUCGGGGCAGGGUGAGUCGACCCCUAAGGCGAGGCCGAAAGGCGUAGUCGAUGGGAAACAGGUUAAUAUUCCUGUACUUGGUGUUACUGCGAAGGGGGGACGGAGAAGGCUAUGUUAGCCGGGCGACGGUUGUCCCGGUUUAAGCAUGUAGGCGGAGGUUCCAGGUAAAUCCGGUACCUUUUUAACGCUGAGGUGUGAUGACGAGGCACUACGGUGCUGAAGUAACAAAUGCCCUGCUUCCAGGAAAAGCCUCUAAGCAUCAGGUAACAUCAAAUCGUACCCCAAACCGACACAGGUGGUCAGGUAGAGAAUACCAAGGCGCUUGAGAGAACUCGGGUGAAGGAACUAGGCAAAAUGGUGCCGUAACUUCGGGAGAAGGCACGCUGAUAUGUAGGUGAAGCCCCUGCGGGUGGAGCUGAAAUCAGUCGAAGAUACCAGCUGGCUGCAACUGUUUAUUAAAAACACAGCACUGUGCAAACACGAAAGUGGACGUAUACGGUGUGACGCCUGCCCGGUGCCGGAAGGUUAAUUGAUGGGGUUAGCGGUAACGCGAAGCUCUUGAUCGAAGCCCCGGUAAACGGCGGCCGUAACUAUAACGGUCCUAAGGUAGCGAAAUUCCUUGUCGGGUAAGUUCCGACCUGCACGAAUGGCGUAAUGAUGGCCAGGCUGUCUCCACCCGAGACUCAGUGAAAUUGAACUCGCUGUGAAGAUGCAGUGUACCCGCGGCAAGACGGAAAGACCCCGUGAACCUUUACUAUAGCUUGACACUGAACACUGGUCCUUGAUGUGUAGGAUAGGUGGGAGGCUUUGAAGCGUGGACGCCAGUCUGCGUGGAGCCAACCUUGAAAUACCACCCUUUAAUGGCUGGUGUUCUAACGUAGACCCGUAAUCCGGGUUGCGGACAGUGUCUGGUGGGUAGUUUGACUGGGGCGGUCUCCUCCCAAAGAGUAACGGAGGAGCACGAAGGUUAGCUAAUCCUGGUCGGACAUCAGGAGGUUAGUGCAAUGGCAUAAGCUAGCUUGACUGCGAGAGUGACGGCUCGAGCAGGUGCGAAAGCAGGUCAUAGUGAUCCGGUGGUUCUGAAUGGAAGGGCCAUCGCUCAACGGAUAAAAGGUACUCCGGGGAUAACAGGCUGAUACCGCCCAAGAGUUCAUAUCGACGGCGGUGUUUGGCACCUCGAUGUCGGCUCAUCACAUCCUGGGGCUGAAGUAGGUCCCAAGGGUAUGGCUGUUCGCCAUUUAAAGUGGUACGCGAGCUGGGUUUAGAACGUCGUGAGACAGUUCGGUCCCUAUCUGCCGUGGGCGCUGGAGAAUUGAGGGGGGCUGCUCCUAGUACGAGAGGACCGGAGUGGACGCAUCACUGGUGUUCGGGUUGUCAUGCCAAUGGCACUGCCCGGUAGCUAAAUGCGGAAGAGAUAAGUGCUGAAAGCAUCUAAGCACGAAACUUGCCCCGAGAUGAGUUCUCCCUGAGACUUAAAGUCUCCUGAAGGAACGUUGAAGACGACGACGUUGAUAGGUCGGGUGUGUAAGCGCAGCGAUGCGUUGAGCUAACCGAUACUAAUGAACCGUGAGGCUUAACCUUAC